GUGGCUUGUUGUGAUCGGACUGGGCGGCACGGCGCUCGCGUUCACUGUGCUUAUCGUAAAAUUUUUACUUCAAGUUCCCGCACAUCACAAAUUUUAAACUAAAUAUGAAAAAGAACAGAGCACCUGCGUUCGAAAACGCUUUGCGAGUCACCCGACCCCUUCAAGGCGAGAACUCAUGGUUAGGAAGAAAUUUCCGAUGUAUACUUAUAACUGGAAUAUCUAUUGUUGUUCUAAGCUUAUUAGCUACUAUAGUUAUUUUGUUAGUCCGGGAGUAUGGUUAAUAUAAAAGUGAAUCGUUUUUGAAGUUGUAAAUUUUAGUUUCCUUUUUUUUUUGUAGUCUAUUAUAUUAUAAUUAAAA
Long non-coding RNA from Melitaea cinxia (Glanville fritillary), 358 nucleotides. RefSeq lists it as uncharacterized. The record is from RefSeq and is a predicted model, not a curated record. NCBI's taxonomy places the organism in Eukaryota, Metazoa, Arthropoda, Insecta, Lepidoptera, Nymphalidae. The transcript is spliced from 2 exons.